Molecule: transfer RNA, 65 nt
Filed under: Calcaritermes cf. nigriceps
Lineage: Eukaryota; Metazoa; Arthropoda; Insecta; Blattodea; Kalotermitidae
Description: tRNA-Asn
Source: RNAcentral
UUAAACGAAGCCAAACAGAGGCUUAUCACUGUUAAUGAUAGAAAUGAGGAGGCCCUCCGUUUAAA